This 32759-nucleotide long non-coding RNA is filed under the name Gallus gallus (chicken). The record is from RNAcentral. Lineage: Eukaryota; Metazoa; Chordata; Aves; Galliformes; Phasianidae.
GGGACAGAAAGUUCGGCAUCGACGGGGCGGGAGGUGGGGGCGCUGCCCCGCGCCUUUGUUCAGCGGGGAGAGGACCUGCGGCGGAGCCGAGACGACCGCGCAGAUAGGCACGCACCCGGCAGCGCGGCCCCGCGCCCACGGGACGAGGAGGAGGAGGGAGGCAGAAGGUCCCCUUGCAGCCUCCCUCACUCUCUCCCUCCCUCCAAGGUCAAAACAUGGCUGUCCAAAGAAUGGGAUGCUUGCCAAAACAUCAAUCUGUGCUGAGUGCCAUACUCAUUAUCCUUCCAGUGGUGGAUUACAACUCGGGUCUCCUCAGGAGGUGACUGAUGUGGAACAAACUGUACGACUGUCUUUGCUGUUUGGAUACGUGUGUAAGUUAACGGGCUACUGGGAGAAGAUGAAGAGGCUUUUGCAGAAAAAUGAGGAUAUCAUGGGAAGUGCUGCUGCUAACCAUUUGGAUUAUAUUGCUGUCUGACACAGAAGUUCUGCAGAUUACGUAAGGAACUCUCCAGAUCUUUUUUGUUAUGUGAUUGCUGAAGCAUUUUCCUGGCACAGCAGUAAUGAUUGAUGAACACACUUCAGACUAGGAGCCACAGAGCAGUGAGGAUUUAUGCAUCUGGAAUAGAACUAUGAAUGGGAUUGCAGGAUUUACAUGGAGGACUCUGAAAUCCCUCACUUCCUGCUCCAGGAAGGGGCUGUCCGCAUAUACAGAGGUGCAGCACAGCCCCUGGCUCUCAAUACAACCUUCAGAUGAAGGAGGAAAAAUAACAGUUCCAGGCAUUGUAAAAGAGGACCUUCUUCUCUGAUGAGGACAUUGCUGAGUUUAACUAGCAGAAGGUAAGCAUGGCUAGAGGAUGGCAAAUCUGGGUGGGACAUAACCACGGAUAUUAUCAACACAGCCUCAAAGGUGUGUUUUCCUCUCUGUAGCUCCCAGCAGCCUUCCUGAGGUUGCUGAAUUAAACCAGACUAGCUGGCUGGAAAGAUGGACGUAUUUGGAAUAUUUUUGGUACACAUUCAUUUCUCCUCAUUCUGCCUUCCAAACAACGUGUCCUAUGGGCAGCAUGCUGUACUGUCAAAUAUUUUAAGCAUGGCCUCUUCCUACCUUGUUGCACCUGUUUAUCUACUCUGUUUGACCCCAGCUCCUUCAGAUGGCAGUCUCAGUGUAAUGACAGACUUGUACAGUUCCUUAUGCAAUCUGUGUGCCAAAGCCAACCACAGUUAUCCCCCCAGCUCCUGAUCUGGGCAGCAGUGUGAAAUCACUGCCAUGAGGUCACUGCACUGCUGUGCCCUUGGGUCCAGCUCCUAGCCACAUAUGGCUCACUGUCACAUACAUGUAUCACCGCUGACUGUGUCUUCACGUGGUGAUGCACUGAACAUGGAUUGCUGUUGUCUCCUCUCUAAUUGAAAGGAGAUCUUCCCAAUAUAUUUUGUUAGUGUGUGAUUUUUUGUUUUUUUAAAUUAUUCCUUUAUAAGCUUUUUUAAUUUAUUUUAUUCCUUUAUAAGCUUAUAUCCCUGCAUACAUCCUAGCAAAAAAGAAAUGGGCUGAUAAAGAUUUAGAUAGGCACUCUAAGAAUGAGGAUGACAUUCAAGCUCAAAAGAGAAAAAAAAAAAAUUCUGAAAGUCAACCCUGUUAUAUUUUCUGUUCUUUUCUUUCAACUUCUAAAAUGUCACUGCCAAGAGCAGUGACCACAGUGGUGAAUGAAGCUAUGGAAAAAGAGAACUGAAUCUCUGUUUGUGUUGUCGUUAUAAGAUCUUGUCCCCUCUGUUCUGAAAAUGUGACUCAGGGAAAUGUGUGCAUAGAAUUUCAGAAAUAAAUACCUGGUCUCUUUCUAGCAUGAAAAUACUUGGAAUGCGAAAAGAUUACCUUUAUGCAUAUGCUUUGUUUGUGAAAUGGAUUGGUGAAAUUUGGCAUGCUUCUUAAAGAGGCCUUUUGCCAGUCUUUCCCCAUAGUUUUAAGUCAUGCCUUUGCAUAAUGAUGUAAUCUACAGUGGGCAGGAAGAAUUCAGCAUAACUAUGAAUAAUGGCAGUAUUUGUGGUGAACUGGUCGUGACAUUCUCACUUGAGCAUUUCUCUUUGGGAACUACUUCUUCAAGUCAUGAGGCUUGCAGUAACGUCAAGAGAAAGAUCAGCACAAGAAUAGCCUGGGUGAGGGAGAAAGAGGACACUUGUUUUAGAGGGUCCACCACAGAAGGAAAGGAAAAGAGACUUGCUUGGAAUACUGACAUUUUUAGUCAUCUCUUUGUGACAUUCCCUCCACCACCCCCACAUAUUCUAUAUGUCUGCAGCCAUCUGCACAAAACUCACCGGAAUCCCAGUGAGGGGGAAAAACAACUUGUAAGAAACUAGGUGAGUAGAGAAGUAAAGGGGAAGCACUGAGCUGGUAAGAGCUUCUCAGCAGUAUUUAAGAGCAAACAAACGAACAACAAAGACAACCAUAAACAAAAAAAGCUGAAAAAAGAGUUUAUGCUUUUAAAUGUGCUGGAAUCAGACAUGCUACUCCAGAUAUAGAUUCUUCUGGGCAGAGGAAGUAGGGAAAUGUGUUAGUUCUUAGGACAGUGUUAAAGUAGGGACAGAAUGUAAACGGUGUCAUGUCAGAAUGAGCUACAUCCAUCAUGCCUCAUUGGUGUCCAUUGGUAUCUUUGAAGGUUAGGUGUAUAGAGAUAAGUUAUUUAUUAUGUAGUAGACAGAAAUAUGUGAAGAAAGCAGGCCUCCCAGUUGUAACUUAAAAAGGCAAAGAUGCUCCUAUGGGUAAAUACUUGCAGUCGUUACAAAUAGGAAUAACUUGGGCACUAGUUUUGAGUAAGAGCAGGUUUAAAGUAAUGUGGUAAUGCUGAUUAGAUGUGUAGAGUUUAAUUGCAUUCUGCAAAAAUAUGUUUACAGGAAGACAAGUUAAAUGGGAAAGGAAUAUCUGUGGUUCAGGACAGAAGAAUUAUUAGUGUUUCAGUGACUUUUGUAAACUUAAAAUCUGGGAUGUCAGGUGUUGAUUGAGAAUGUUACAAGUACUCAGGCUUAGUUUAAAUUCAGUCUCCCAAAAUUUGUUUAAAUAUGUGAGUAAGAAUUCCAAAUAUUGUGGUGGCAGAAGAGCUAACACUUAUUACAUUGUUCAUGUGUCAUUUACAGGACACUGGGAACAGUCAAAGAAGCAGAAAGUUAUACCAUUCUUCUCUAUUGUAAAAUAUUACUGAAAAAAUCAACAAGAGAAGCAGAAAACAUGAUUGACAAUUUUGAAAAAAGUGAUACAAAGAGAACAUUUGGCACUGUGUCCUUUGUGUUACUUAAGAGAUUCUUCCAAUGUACCAAAAAAUAACUCUGUCCUCAAAAAAGACAAAAGAAAACCGUGUCAAAUAUGGUACAUUUCUGACAGUGUGGUGAAUUUCUGCAGGUAUUUUUCAAACGUAAAAUGAAUUAUUCUAAACAACAGUAGCCUUAUUCAAGAUUUCACAAAGUUACACAAAGCAUAUUAAAAUGGUGUAUUUUGUUCUGAAGUCCAGUUGAUCCAUAGUUAAAAGGGUUGAAGCUAACCUUGUAACCUAGUGCAGCGAGGGUAUGUUCAAAAUUGUUAGUAGUAAUGAGCCUGAAAUGUGACCUAUAGUUUUCAAAACAGUUGGAAAAAGUAGUUUCACACAGUGAAUGAUCAAACUUCUUUAAAAUACAUUCUGCAUUUUAUCUGACUUGUGUAAGAAUUUGUAACCAGAGACUAUAGAUCAAUCACUCAUCCGAAGUAAGCAGGGAUGUUAACUUAGCAGAGGAAGGAAUAACCAGCUUUUUUUUUUUGUCUCAGUUGUGUGACAAAAGUAUAUGGAAGUUCCAGCUGAAAGUAAGGGCCUGUGUUGUUUGGUCGUGUAUAAAACUAGUGUACACUGCACAGCUCGGUGUAAGAAAAGAUUGCAUAGAGAGUGUAUGCAAUAAAGUAUCUGACAUGAGAAAGUUAUAUGAAGAAUUUUGUGAGGAAGGAGUAGGAAUAAUUAUAUAAAAUUUAUUUUGCUAUGAUUAAAAUCAUGCAGAUGAUAGCCUGAAUUCUUGUGAUUUUGCCUUUCAUUUGAGAAGGAGUGUGUGGGAAGUUUGAUUUUAAGCUGAAGUAACCUAAAUGAUCUGCAUUAUUUGGGAAUACUUUUAAUUUAAUGCCCUGUGAUGCAGUAGUUUAUGAGAAGAAUUUCACUCAAUCGUGACCCAGAAAUAUUAAGUGUUCCCUUAAUGAACAAUACCCAAUUCUUCACUGAAACCAUGAGGCAGUCUUUUCUUAGGCAGACAGUUGAGUUUUUCAGUAUAAUAUCUGUAACACUGCACAACAAUAUUUACAUACACAGAAUGGGCAAUUGAACACUUCAGACCAAUUCAUAGUUGUUGCAGUGGGCUUAACUUCUUUGAAAUGCAUUGAUGCCCCAGCCUACAAGAUGGCUCAAUAUGAUCUCUCAGCUUUUCAAAGCUAUGUUACUGAAAAUACUAUGGAGGCUGACUUGGAAAUUUGUUUCCUAAUUAUACUGUUCCUUUCCUGCUAAGGAUGUGGCUUCAAUCAGUUACUUACUUACUUGCCCUGGGUUUUCACUUGUUAAAAUCUUUCUUUUCUCAGUUAGUACCCAAAGCACAAAUCCGUGAUUGGCUUAUGCAGAAAGUGUGAGGUGAACAGUUCAUUCAAUUCCUUGCAUCUCCAAAAGAUGAAACAGCAGUAAGAAAACAAUUGUGAUGUCUCAUUUCAUUUAAUCUGCUUUUAUUGUGCAAGUGCUCAUGGUAUUAGAAUACCCUCACUAACGACUGCACUGUGGUUAUCAACUGAGCCUCACUGCAGGCGUAAGGUCCUCACAGCCACUUCACAGUGGCUCCCUACAGCAGUCCAGAUCCUUCCCCAUUUGGCAGAGGACUUUGGUACAUGUUCAAAGUUAGUUACUUGAUUGAAGAUUUCUGUUAAAGAGAUGUGAGAUCUUGUGCUUAAAGAUAGACAGAUAAAUAUGGUCCCGAAUCAGCAGCUGAUAUGUUACAUUUCUUAGAGGUUUCCAGAAAUCUUGAAUUUCCUGAAAUACUAUCUUUGCUGUUUUCCAAGCUGAGGAUAACCUACAGCUGAAAAACAAACUCAAAACACAUUACUGUAGAACAUGCUGAAAAGCCUCCUAAAGUCCCUCUUCCAGCCAGUACUAAGGCUUGUGUUCACUGGGACUGUUUACAUUUCAGUAGCCUUAAAUCAAUAAAUAAAAUGGCGACACCUGGUUUUCCGGAAAUCACAUAUAAAUAAAUAAAUAAAUACGUUGGUAACAUGAAUUAAUUCCUUGUAGAUGGAGAAAGAAGCAAUAAUUGAGUAACUGAGUCAUUAGACAGCUUCUGACUGUAAUAUUUCUCACCACUUCAGGUGGUAUUUUAUGACCAGCUGCCUGUGGUGAAGAAAAGAAAUCAGUUUUCGGAGAACCAAAAUCCCAGAUUUUUACCACGGAAUUAUAUGUAAGAAUGCAUGCCAGUUUCCAUAUACUUACUUUCUAAAGUGUAACACCCACUUACAUGCUUACUGUAAAACUCUGCUGAUAAAGUAUUACGGUAUUUAUUAGGAAGACAUCUUUACUCCAGUCCAGAGUGUUCAAAGCAGAAUCAAAACCAUUCUCUGAUUGGCUGUGAUUAAUUUAUUUGUGCACAUAACCACUCUGUUAAUUGUGAGAGUGAGUUUACUCACUAAGAGGUCUAACCUUAACCUUCCCUGUAACAGUAUACUAAACCUCCAGUCAUUAUUUUGUCUUUUGCAUUGUCUGAACUUCUUAUACUCCCACUGAAUAAAGCGCAAAGGUCCAGCUGGCAGCAGGGACUGUAGACUUGAGACCCAAAUAAUUCUUAAAUGCCUUUUGUGGUAAGGCAAAGCAGGAGUUGCAGAUACAGGGGCUGUCCCCAGUUCUCACUCCCAGCUUCCCUAAGACUUGAAGCCUCACACCUUACCACGUUUCAGAUACGCUACUUUUGCUUGGUGCAAUGCUGGUAAGACCAGAGGUGCGUGUUCUGGAACCAAUGAAUUCUAGAGUGCUGUGACAAACUCUGUUAUAAGAUUGGCCCCCCAAAUCCACAUCCUACCAGAAAUCCACAUCCUACCAGAAAUCCACAUCAAGUGCAGUGAGUUGUCCCCAAAUUCAAUAUAUUUCAGAUGAAGCAUUUUGUGUUCAGUGAUGCAAGCCCCUUUUGAUGAAAAUGAUCUGUAUCCAGCCCCAGACAUGAGUUGGGAGGCUGUGUCAGAAAACAUGUAAACUUUGGAAUAGUUUGGACCACAUGUUAACUUUGCCACUGAUCAGCUAUAAAUAAUCCUCUUCAGAACCUUAGAGUUGCAACAGAGCUUUUGAAAAGAUUGAACUUGGAUCGUGGUUUUAUGGCUAUCUCUGAAAUACUUUAUUGCUGUUUUAAGACACAGGAGAGUAAAUUAUGGUGCUGUAAAAACUUGCAGUGUGAAUGUUUUAUCAUCUACUUAUGUACAAAACAUAAAUAGUACCAUUUUGUUUUUUGGCUAUAUAUAUGUGUAUACAUGUGUAGACACAAAUGCACUAUAUAUAUGUAUAGUGCAGUUUAGAAAGCUGUGUAUUAUUAGAAAGGUUACUGUGAAUGUUUUGCUCUUUUUUUUUAUGUGUCAGUACAUUGUUUGCAUUAGUUGGUAGUGUGUAACUAUUUUCAGUCCAUUGCUGUAGGUUAGAGAAAAAAUGAGAAUGAGGAGAGGAGGGGGGAAUAAUGUGUAUGUGUUGUAUGUAUGUAGACAGCACUAGUGUGUAAAUAGCGUGUGUAACACUGUAAGGAUCGAAGAGAAAAAGCCUUUUGUUAGAUGAACUAAUGCAACAAAAAAUAUCUUUUGGAAGUGCAAGACCUUUCUCAGGUCUGAAACAAACCCUGCAGGGUUUGUGUGCAAAUUUAAUUAAAUGGUUUAUACUAUGUGUGAACAUGUACAUAGGUGCCUGUGCAAAUGCCGUUAUAUAGAUACAGAAACAUCUGAGGUUGACUGGUUUGUAUUCUUGCAUGUUCUCUUCUUUCAGAAUAGGAAUGGUCACAAAUGAAAAUAUUCAACAUUCCACUACUUUUUAAAAGCUAAUGUUAAAUGUCAUACGUCAAGAAAUAUGUUUCCGUGUUAAGGGGAUUAAAGUUAUGUUCCCUUUGAUAUGACUUCACCAGCAUUCAUCAGUAGCUUACGCUGGCCAUUAUCUCUUGGGCUCUGUAUCUGCUACUCCUUCAGAUUUUUCUCCGUCCUAUGUUGAGCUGACUCAUAGUCAUUUCCUUCCACUAUCUCACUGAGUGGCCACGGGCAGAAAAAUUGUUUUCAUCUGCUCCUUUUAGUUAACAUUCUCGUUCCAGUGGAUGCACUCAGAUAAAUUAUUUCAUAAGUUAUGACAUUUAUCUAUGAACUCUGUGUUAUCCUUCAGCCUCCAACCUUGUCAUCGGUGUCCUUUCCAGUCUCUGAGAAAGAUAUUUUAUACUGACUGGGAUGCUACUGAGGUGUUAAGCAUCAUUUUCCUUUUCUCCAGGCCUGGAAGGACUGAUGUGGGACAUGUGUAGCUGUACUGGUAUGAAAUAUAUGAUUUCUAGUGUUUCUAAGUGAUUACUGUUCAAAUUUCUUCUAGGUAGUAUCUUUACAUCACUACAUGAUGCAGAUGGAUCACUCUUUGCCAGCUGCCAAAUCAAAUAUUGCUGUACAGUCUCUACCUUCAGCAACAUCCUCAGUGUUCUGGUGGUGGGUCCCUUGAAAGGAUGGGGCAGAACAGACUUCAUGCCACCCCUGUACUUCAAGCUCUCUGCUCUGUAAGUACACUGGAUAAUCUUGUGGCUAUAAGAUGGCAUUUCCAAUUUAAGUAGAGUGUUCUGAAUUGAAAAAAGCUGGAAGUUUCUAGUGAUUUCAGUAGGAUGAAACUUACUAUCUGGCUAAAAUAUAGAGGAAAGGAACUUUACUACACAUGAAAGGAACUUUAAAGAUUUAUUAAUCUUUAUAAUGGACAGAAGCUUCCCUGAUUCUUUAAGAAAUCAGUAUUUUUCCUGUGGUAUAUCACAAGUGUACUAUAAGUGACAGGCAGCAUCUGAUAAAAUUCAUUAUUUUGCUGCUGCUUCUAAGAAGAAAGGGUGGAGAUGCUUUUGGGUGUUUUGAAAUAUGUUAUGUGUAGAGGUGUACGUUUUCCAGCUUUAAAAAGAUGUGACUGUGACCCAAUUGCACUUUAGCUGAAAUAAACAUUUUGGGGAGGAAUUUAGCUGAGUGGUUAUUUUUGGUCUGGCGGAGGGGAAGCCAACGGAGUGCCUGUUAUUACCCUGAUGCUGAUUACUGGAACUGACCAGCUUAAGGGCAAUUUGGUAACUUUGUUUAAAAACAAAAGUAGGUCCAGCUGUGAUUUAGAGAGGGAGAAGCUCUAAACCGCUUUUUUAUUUUCCUUUAAGAUAAAUAAUAAAAAACUUUCCUAGCUGAAAACAUUAUCUGAACCUCACAUGAUGUGGGAUUCAGGGAAUUAACAGGAUGAUUCAGGCACACAAUCUUAACACUCAUACCCAAUCUUGAGAAUUUUCCUUGAGGGAUAAAACUUCUUUCCUGCUUUUGGUCAAAAAACAAGCCAAACCCUAACACUGAGCUCUGGCAUACGCUGUAGUCCAGUAUAACCUCAGGAUGCAAGCAGUGUGACUUUAGCAGACGUUUGCAGCACUCCUCCCUGUCACUCCUUCCCUUUCCUCUCCUCUGCUCCAUAUGGAGACAUGUGCCAGCAGCUGGAAGCAGGGGCUGAAGGGCGGUUCAAAGUGUUCCUUUGUUAUUUUUUAUUAGGGAGUGUGACAGAGGGCACUGAGAGCUGCUGUUUGUAUUAGCUUGCAUCUGUGUUUGCAGACAGAGCAAGGGCGCUGGCUGAGCUCAGCCCCCGAGUAACAGAAAGUUCUAAUCUUGCUGCCCUUCUGCUCUCCUGAUGCAACUCCAGUUUGGUUUUUCUAUAAAGGGAAGAAAAAUUGUCACACGGGCUGCACUGAUGCAGCAGGAAUUGAGCAUGCUCUGAACAGGCAACAUUUCCAAAGUGGCCACAUAGACUCAGUUCAUGGUGGGUUUGUUUCAUGUUCCUUCCCUUGCCAUUUCUCCUUAAAAAUAAACAAAUGGACUCAAGCAAAAUAUAUCCUUUUACUUAUGCAAGAAAUAAAGGAAGUUAGUGAGACUUGGUGCCCCUCCAUACUGCUCUUAACUUCAAAUGCACACGUGCCCGUAUAUUUUCUUGCUUUUUUCCUCUUAGGAGUGCUUUCAUUGGUGGUCCUCCUGACAGUGUGGCUUAUAGAUUCCUCUGACAUAAUCUUUGACAUCUUUAAAUCUACAGUCUGAUUUUUUUUUUCUUUCCCUUUACCAUUCUUCCUUAAUACACAGCCACUUCUCUUCCCAUUCACUUGGUUCUUUCACUUGUUGAAUUGGUAAAAUCUUUUUACUUACUGGUCCCCAGAUGAAUCAAGUGAUGCCAAAUUACCUGGGGAUUUCUUGAUUAUUAUUGUUAUUAUUUUAAAAGUUCAUUUUAUUUGUGCCAUUAUUUUUUUCUGGUUUCCUGUUCUUUCUGGUUAAUGUCUGUGACCCAUCUUUUCUCUGUCUUAGUUCAUAGACUCUCUGUGGUCUUUUAAAAUUGACUUGACUUUAUUUGAUUGAUUGUUUCCAAUUUUCCUGCUGUUCUGAUCCUAUCUCACAGCUGCUCUUAGGAGGUAAUCUCUAACAUUCCCUCUCAAACAGAAUAACUUUACUAAAUAGUUUAGGAUUUGGCUAACACAGUUGUAGACAAGUAGAUCCAGAGCUUGCCUUAUCUGUCUUGUUUUAAGACAAAUCCAACCUGAUAGGAUGGUCAGACUGGCUGCCUGCAAUAUACUGCCUUUCACCUCAUUUCUGAUUUCCCUUUUGUUGAGCCAUAUGCUGCCAACAUCCUUGUCAUUUCUCUGUCUCCUCCCUUUCCUCCAGCUGAUGUUUUGGCACUAUUUAAAUCCAUGUCCAGUUGUGCUUUUAUUAAACACAGGGAUGGAAAUUCUGCCCAGUGGUUCCUUUUCAGUCUCCACCUCCUUUUGUUUUGUCUUAAAUGCAUUUAAGGGGAAGCAGGAGGAGAGAUGGAAAAGGAAGGGUUCAGUCUAGACUUUCAGAGCAGUUUCUCUUUCCCUAAAGAGCACAGCUCAUUUCCUUACAGAGUAGCAUGGCUGGGAAGUUGUGUAUUUCUUCUCAGCACUAACUUUCCUGAAAUUUGUUGAAUCAAAGCAUAGCUACUAAGCAUAAACACAAAUGUGUGAGUGUUCUCCUCUCUCCUGCUUCAGAGUAGAAGAAUGAGCAGAGUAAUGAGUGAAGGGGAGCAGCUACAGGGUGGAAACGUUGAAAGAAAAUAGAUAAAUAUCCAUAGACACACCUGCACUUAGGUGUUUCUGCACCGUGGGGCCUCACAGAGGUUGUUUUUUUGCCAGAAAUGAUUCAAGGACAGAAAACUGAGCAAUGUGGAAGUUGAUGAUUUGCCUGAGGGUUAUUUACAAGGUUUUGCCUUUGCAAAAAAAGUGUUACUUUAUGGCUGUAACUUUAACCCUUCAUACAUUGCACUUAGCCAAAGACUGGAGAGAUUCUUUUUUCUUCAAAGUGCAUCUACAGUUGCUGGUUUUGAAUAAAGGCCCAUUUAAUACUGGUUCAUCUACUCUUGCCAAGUUUCUGUGUUUGCUUUGAAUCAAAUUAAAUUGCAUUGUCAUAUUAAAAAUGAGUAGUGUAGUCUUCACCAAGCUGUUUUCCUCUGUGAUACUCUGUUUAAAUUUUUUGGUAAAUGAAGCUUGGUCUGGUUAGAAAGAAAAUGUUUAAAAAACAAACACAAAUACCCAAAAAACAAGUGAUGAGAUCAUAAUUUCUCUACUUCAUGGAGUUUCCACUUUAUUAAUGUAGCUGCUUCCUUAUGUGUUUGUUUACUUACGAGAUGAGGUUUCUUUUGUGUGAAGAUGUGGACAGGAAGAUAAGCUGAAAUCUGACGGUGUCCUUGGUUUAAGAUAACUCAUCCAUUCAGUUUGUAUUCUGCUUAGUGAAACAAAGCUACAUAAUGUUUGUUGUUCUGCCACCACAAGGUAAAAUACCACACUGCUCCUUGCCAUCACAGUGAUGUUUUUCCAAAUGAAAGAAAGUACCUGUCUUAAGAAGAGACUGUGUAUGGGCAGGCGUGCUGGUGAGGUGUGGCUACUACAUCCCCUUGAUCAUCGUUGCCUAUUCUUCCUAUUUUUUCUUCUUAACUUUGUUGCUUUGUGUGUUUUGGAUUCUGCUGCAUGUAGUAGGUGCUAAGGCUGUGUCUUGUAUAUUGGGUGAAAGUGGGAGGUUAAGGUGCUGCUUCCUAUGAGGGAGAAUGGAUGUGCAGCAAACAAAUGAUUUAGCAAAUGCUACUUUUGAAGGUGUGACCAGAGCAGUGCACUCUGACAAGGGCAGAAACUGCAACAGCAGGCAACAUUUUCAUCCAACUAGGCAAAGACAAGUGAGUAUCUCCUAUUUUUUUGUAAUUUUCAUCGUUUUAUAGAUAUCUACUCUAAUGGUACUGGGCUCGGCAAAGGGAGAUUUUGAGGCAUAAAUUAGGACUGCGAGUGUUUUUGCACAUGUUAUUGCUCAGUCUGGCAGGAAGCAGUCCCAAAGAAAAACCGGCUGUGUUCAAGGAAAACCAGAGUGGGAAACAGUGCUGUGCUAAAAGCUGAAUGUGGCAGUUCAGAAUACAUGGAGGCAUAGGUGGAAGUUAAAAGAAGAAAAAGCAGGAGGAAUAUCUAAUUUUGUGGUUCAUCAUCUGAUGGGAUUCCAGAGCCCUGGCUGUGUCUCAGGAUCUGUCUUGUAACUGCACAGCAAAAUUCUUGGAUUUGCAAAAUAAGAGUAAUAAGUGCUUGAAGUUAUUGGUUUAAAAUGUAAUAACUAAAGAUUGAGUUUUAUCAUUGCUGAUAAUAAUGUGGUUAUUCAUUUAUACUCAUUCUAAAUUUUAUGUCAGAAAAACAUUACUGUUUUUCUGUGUACAGUGUAUGAUGCAGUGUAGGAUGCAUACAUAUUUCUCUGUGUGUCUUGCUCAGAGGCAGACUGUAAAGAUUUAGAGUUCUUUGCUUUAUCCUGAUAUGUAACAUACACUGUAGCAGUAGAAUUCGUUCAGAUCAAUAUAUUUAAUACUUUCUUAGUAAAUGGUCAACAGAUAAACCACAUCAUUUGAAGAGGAAAUCAAAGUUUACUUUCUGGUUUGGCAGGUCUCUCAUUUUUUACAAAACAAGACAGAGUAGGCCAGAUUUAGUAUAGCAUCCACAUGGAUCUAAAGAUCUAUGCAUGCUUUAACUGAAGACGGUAGAAGAAAGCAGAUAAGAGCUACAUUUUUUACUUAUGAAGAAAAGUUGAGGGAGCUUGGCUUGUUUAGCUUGGAGAAGACAAUGCUCUGGGGAGACCUCAUUGUGGCCUUCUAGUACUUGAAGGGAGUGUAUAAACGGGAGAGGGAACGGCUGUUUAUGAGGGUGGAUAGUGAUAGGACAAGGGGGAAUGGUUUUAAACCGAGACAGGGGAGGUUUAGGUUAGAUAUUAGGAGGAAGGUUUUCACUCAGAGGGUGGGGAUGCACUGGAGCAGGUUGCCCAAGGAGGUUGUGGAUGCCCCAUCCCUGGAGGCAUUCAAGGCCAGGCUGGAUGUGGCUCUGGGCAGCCUGGUCUAGUGGUUGGCAGCCCUGCACAUAGCAGGGGAGUUGGAACUAGAUGAUCAUUGUGGUGCUUUUCAACCCAAGCCAUUCUAUGAUUCUAUGAUUCUAUAUGAUCUUGAUUACCAUAGUUGUAGCUGACAAUUUUACAGGAGGUACAUAAGAAUGUACCUUUGCAUCAGUUUCAGGUGUAUUUGUACUAGGAGCGGCAGUGCUCAGGCCUAUCUCUAGAUUACUAAUGUAUUAUUUGUAAAGUGUACCCUUUUCAGUUUUCCUGGCUAAAAUAAGAUAUAUUUUUAUUUAAAAAGUAAGUAUACGUUUGGCUAUGUAUAGAUUUGGAAAAAAAAUCUGAUAGCUUGCUUGCUUAGUGAACAGCCGUUGGAUGCAGUCUCUAAUCUCAGAGCUGGUUGCUGGUUUCACCUGCUUUCUCUCAGUAUUGCUGCUGUUCUCAAAGUUACUCAGGCAGGUAACUAUGAUGCUAAGUAGAACUGGGAAAUAUGCAUGUAAACAUUAUUUUUGCCUCACAGUUUUUUCUUUUGUGCAAAAAUGGUGAAUAAUCACCGUCACUAAACUGGUUGGAAGCAGAAAGAAUGACAUGUUGCACCAAGGACAGAGAAAUGAGAAAAAUCUUGGAGUUUUCUAAAUGUUUACAGGAACUUCCUGAGAUUUCAGGAAGUAGAUGAAGACUAACUGGGUUGUGUAUCACCUUGACUCUUGAUAACAUCACCUAAGUAUUCAAUUGGUGCUAUAGAAACAACUGUGAUGGAAGAACCGUAAUGCUUUUCAGAAAAUAGCUUUUUGAGAUGCAGCACUAUCCAUUCCUUGUCACAUGUGUAGCACUGCUAAAGCAGCUCAAAGUAAAUCCCUCUGUCACAACUGCCUAAAAUGGUUCAAGGCUGAGAAACAAAGGCAACUCUCCUUACCACAUCCCUAAAUUCUCCUUUUCUACUUUCCUACUCUACUGCCCUUCAUAUCAGGAGGAUUACUGGAUAUACUUCUGGGAAAUUAACAGAAUGUUUGUUUUGCUUCUUUUCAAAGUGUUUUCAUGGUUUUAGGUGAGUGUUUGACUUAUGUUCAUUGGCCCUUGCACAAGACUGUGAAAGCUAUUUCCUUUUCCCUUAAUUAAAGCAUAUAGAAUAUCAGAUUUUUCAGAAGUGAAUUUCCUCUCAGGAGAUAGGUGAGCAUAUGUAGUAGAAGUGGUUGUUUUUAUAGACUUGUGCAGUUGGUUCUUCUAAACUUUCCAGAUACUUUCUUAAGACAAACUACAGACAGAAGUACUGUCUGGUGGUUUGUUUGUUUGUUUGUUUGUUUUUACUUAAAUAUAGCGGUAGCAGGAACACCGUAUCAAAUGUUGACAUGGUGAAGGCAACGGACAAGGCAAGUUCUCUGUGUAACUUGAUUUGAGAUAGUGAAGCUCUACUAGCCCUCUGUUUGUUUGUUUGGUGUUUUUUUUUUUUUUUUCCUGGUAGUAUGAGGGCUGCUCCAAAAGUAAUGCCUCCUAUUUUAUCAUGCUGGCCCAUGAUGUCAGAGAUGGAUGUUGGUGGUAUGGCAGUAGAAGUAGAACCUGUCUAUCAGUAUCCUGUUACAUUUUGUGCCAUGGCAGCAGAGGGGCAGUCUGACAAAGUGACGUCUGACACGAAAGAGCGGGUGAAUGGAUGUUACUGAAUUUCUCUGUGCUGAAAAAAGUGGCACCCACUGACAUUCAUUUGACACUUGUUGAACAUUGAUGGAGGCCAAACAGUGGAUGUGAGCACAGCGAGACUGUGGGUGGUACAUUUCAGCAGUGGUGACAGUGACAGUGGAUCACCUCCACUAAUGCAGAUUUUUAUGAUUGCGGCAUGCAAGAUCUUUUUCAUUGCUCGUGAAAAUACAUAGCUAAUGGUGGUGACUGUGUUGAAAAAUAGUGUUUUUUAGUCAAGGAUUUGCUCAAAUAGUAUUAUUUACUCUUUCUAGCUGUUGUAGUUUUUCAUAGUUUCCAAGUAAAUAGGAGGUAUUACUUUUGGAGCGACCUACGUAUUUUUGUGCAUGACUUAUUUGAAGCUCUGGUACGUGAGUGAAGAAAGGAUAAAAGGGGAAGACAUUUCCUUCUCUUUUUCUUAUGUUCUGGUUUUUAAGGCCAUGUCUUUUUAUAUCUGCUGGUUUAUCUGUGUGGGUGGGCAGGUAUGAGUCUCAACCUGUCUUCCCCUUGUGCAAUGUAAUGUGGAAGUUUAGGUUGGUAUGCUGCUGGGGCCAGCCCACAUCCUUCACCCACACAGCCUCAUGAAGCAGUUACACACAUCAAUCAGGGAAAACCCUCAUCUCUGCACACCGUUGGAGCAGGUGCAUAAGCUCAGGGUGACAACAGAUGUCUGUCACAUUGCCACAGGCGGCCACUAGUGCCUGCCAACUUGUCUGCCUACAACAAAUCUAACUUAUGUCUGAGUGUUGUCCAAAUGCUUCUUGAAAUCUGGCAGGCUUGGUGCAGUAACCACUGCCCUGGGGAGCUUGUUCAAGUGCCCAACUACCCCCUGCUAAAGAAUCUUUUCCUAAACCCCAACCUGACUGUCCCCUGAUAUAGCUCCAUGAUGGUUCUGUCACUGUAAUCAUAGAGGAGAGAUCAGCACUGCCUCUCUGCUGUCCUCAUCGGGAAGCUGUAGGCUGCCAUGAAGCCUCCCUUCAAUCUCUUCUUCCUUGCACUGAAGAUACCAAGGGACCAUUGCUGCUCCUCUUGGGGCAUCUUGGCCUCUAGUCCCCUCACCGUCUUUGUAGCCCUUCAUUCCCUCUUGUACAAAAUAGCCCGAAGAUGGAGUUAUUGGCUUUUUCCAAGUCCUAUAUACUUUGAGUGUACUACAGAGUAUGAGGCAAAAUCUGUUCCUCUGUGCCCAGGUAACUGUAUAGGGGCAUCACUAAAUUAAUUUGCUCUUGGAAGUUAAGUAGUGUGUCUCUGGGUUGUAUCAGUACAUAUGAAAGAAGAAUUCAGUGUCAUCUUUUUCAAAUGGAAUGUUGUCUUUCUUUGGCUAAAUGAAUAGAGGAUAUCAGAACAAAUUAUGCUUGGGUCUUAGGCAGGUGGGCAGAGAAGGAAAUCCAAGAGUGCUCCCGUCUUGAGCAUGCUCUUCAACAGUUGGCAGAGUGGUAUCUCCACCAUUUUGGGGUUUUGGAAGUUAAAUAUCUUCAGAAAUGGAGUUCAGAGUACCAUCCAGUCUGCUUGUAGCUCUUGUGCUUUGGGGGCAGAAUGUAUCCAUAUCAUCCUCCCAGUUGCAAACCAAACAUUGGUUAUGAAAAAGGAACAAGUGCAUGAAGAAACCUACAGAACUGACUUACUCACUUAUUUUAUUUUUACACUUAACCUAUAGAAAGGAUUAUGGUGUUGUGUUGUUGUUGUUGUUUGUUUAAGAAAGAGUGGUAUUAAAGAAGCACAUAUUCAACAUUUAAAAAGUAGCAGCCUUCCUGAAUCAGUGUAUUCACAGACAAGAAAAUUACAGGGUAAGGGCCUAGUUGGGAGCAAAUUCCCUUUACACUGCUAAGUCAACAGUGUUCAUGCUGCUUCAUUUCACCUGCAGAUAAUGACAGGGACAGAUGCCUAGACUGAGGAAAGGAGUUGGCUUCAGUUCUACUGCACGUGAUUCUUAGGUGUGAUAGAGAAAUUCUGACUCCUAUAUUUCCAGCUUGGAAACACCAAAAUUUUUUCUUGUUAUUUAAUUUAUUGUAGUACAGAGAAGCUUAAAUAGUUAGUAACUGUAUGUAACAGAGAAGAGUAUCUAUUUUGUUUUAAAAUUAACUUAACAAAGUAUGGAUGCAAAAGUCUGUGUGUGAGGGAAGUGAAGAUGGGAAGAAUUGUGAUUUUUUUUUCUUCUAAUUACAGGUAAUGACUUAGCAAGUAUACGAAUAAUAUUGCCAUAAAUAUUAGAUCACAUAGAUAAUGACGCCAUCUUCAGCUACAUUACAUAACUUUUUGCUGGUGCACAUUCCACAAAAAGGGUAGUGAAUCUUCAUGCUUCAGGGUGUGAACUCACCACCAACUGAACAGUUAAGAAAUUCUUCCUGUAGAGAGAAAUGCCAUCUUGCCCUGCUCUACCUGUUUGUUUUUCUUCUAAGAAGCAUCUGCUCAUAUCUUCUCUUGAAAACAAACUCUUAGACCAACUGCUUUGACAUUAGUUUUUUUUUUUUUUACCUUUCCUAAAGAAGUUGGUCCCUACUCAUUUCUCACUCUGCUGAGUGAGAAAGAUGCUGAGGUGUUGGUGGUCCUGCUUUAAGGUAUUAAGGUGCUGCUUUUUAUGCAUUUGGUUAACGCUGUACUGAUAUUGAUCUGCAGACUGAAGCACAGGAGAGUAACCACGUGAUGGUCACACUUGGCUUUGCUCCAUUUUGCUAUUUUAUCAGACAAAUGAGCUUGCUUUCCUAAUCAGGUUUUCACACAAUAAGCCUUGAAGGGCCUGGUACAGAUGGUGGGAGAACUGAAAUGGGUCAGGGGAGGCGGGAAAGAAAAACAGAAAAAUAUUUGUCAGGCUUGAUAGUGCUAAUGAAAACAUAAAGAAAGAAAGAAGGAAAGCAGUGUUUAGAGAGCGAAGAGUGACCUGACAAAUGUGACCUCUGUUUUUCCCAAGGGCCCCUGACUUUGAAACCAAAGCUGGCUUUAAUGUUCACCAGGUGUCAUCAAGGUGUUUUGAUUCCCUUUAAGGACAGGAAUUAGCCUUAUAGUUUCUGUAUCUACACUUCAGCGAACUUUGGUGACAAGGGUAUAUUCUUGUUCAGAGCAUAACCCUUGAGGUUCAAAUGGCAUGAGCAGCUCAAAAAUUAGUUCUGUUACUUCCACAGGAGAUGAUGAAUGCAGACCUGUAAUUCACACAGGUUUUUCUGCAAGAGCCUUUCCAACCCUGUCCUUUCUUGAACGUGGUCUAACUGAGCAUUUCUGAACAGCCAGACAGUGCAGUGGGAAAGCUAGGAGAUGCAGCACAGAAGCAAUGCUGGCAGUAAGAUUAUUCCUCAAACUAAAAUAAUUCUUUAAAGUUCAGUAUUUUGUCAGCUGAGAUUAUAGUUCAAUUUCCUGGAAGAAGUGAGAUGCUACUUUGUUGAAGAUAUAUGGCUCUUUGUCUGCUGUUGUUAUACAGGCAAAUUGUUGUUACUUAUCAUCCUUUUCUGGCUGCUUCCUCUCUGUGGGUAAUUGUGCCUCUGAUAUUACCAAGAUAUCUCAGCCUUGCUUGUGGUUUGAGUGUUGUAUACAAAUUUUUAGCUCUUCAGGUGACUGUCUUGUCCUUCAGAAGGCAGCUUUGUAGGAAUAGAGCAUACUGUCAGGCAGAGGAAACAACCUCCUGAAUGGUGUGCCUUUGCACCACCUACCCCUCCCUCAUUACCUCUGAGAGCCAACCAUUUCUAAACUUUUCCUCUCCUCUUGUGAGGCAUGAAAAACGUAAGCAACUCAUCUAAUGCCCUGAUCCUGAUAUCCUACUGCAGGUAGGGGGUUAGGGUUGUAAUGUGCCCAUGACAGAAGGUUUUUCUGGGAAGCACCUAGGGCUAUCGAAGGGUCAGUUCAUGACCAAUUCAGUGGAUGGAUGCUUUAAGAAAAGAGUAAGAUACCAUCUUUAACACUUCUAGGUAUACUAUAGGACUGUGUAGGUCCAGAAUUGCAAAGGAUAACUGCUGCUUCUUUUCAUCAGUGUGAGAUCUCCUGCAGCCAAUAUCUGUUCCAUGAUCGCCUUCUGCAUCAAUAUCUGUUCAUUUAAAAAAUGUAUGACCAGAACAGAUUCAAUGAGAGUUUGGGGAUACUGUUGUGCACAUUGUCAAAGAUCUAAGAUUGCUAGACCAAAAAUGAAGUUGUUGUUUUUAUCAGUAAUUACAUUUCUUAUUGUGGCACAAAUCCCCACUCAUCUUAUGUUUGUGUAGGAGUAUUCAGUUUAUCCUUUAGUAGUGUUUUAUAUUUAAAUUGGAGAAUGACUGCAUAACCUUAUAGGGAAGAAUGGUAUUUACAUUCAGGGGAAACACUAUAUUAAUUAGCAAAUAAUCACAGAAUCACAGAAUUGCAGGGAUUGGAAGGGACCUCAAGACAUCAUUGAGUUCAAUCCCUCUGCUGAAGCAGGUUCCCUACAAUAAGUUGCACAGGUAGCCAUACAGACAAGUCUUUAAUGUCUCCAUAGAAGGAGACUCUGGAACUUGUCUGAGCAACCUCUUCCAGUGCUGUCACCCUUAUUGUAAAGUUCUUCCACAUGUUUGUAUGGAAUUUCCUUUGUUCAAAUUUUAGUACAUUGCUCCUAUCACAGUGCUAUCACUGUGCACCACUGAGAAGGGCCUGGCCUCAUCCACUAGCUUCCCAUCUCCUUUUAGAUAUUUAUAAACAUUAACCGGAUCCCCCCUUAAUCUUUUUUUCCCCAGACUAAACAGACUUAGGCUCCUCAGCCUCUCCUCAUAUGGGAGAUGCUCCAGGCCCCAAAUUAUCUUCGUGGUCCUCCAUUGGACUCUUUAUAGGAAAUCCCUGUCUUGUUUGAACUGAGGAGCCCAGAACUGGACACAAUAUUCCAAAUGUGGUCUCACCAGGACAGAGUAGAGGGGGAGGAUCACCUCCUUGACCUGUUGGCCACACUCUUUUUAAUGCACCUCGGGAUACCAUUGGCAUUCUUGGCCAAAAGAGCAUACUGCUGGCUCAUGGCCAACCUAUUGUCCACUAGAACACCCAGGUCCUUCUCUGUAGAGCUGACAUGAUAAAAUUGAAGCAUAUUGCUUUUUCAGUUCAACUUUGUAGAAUGUAUGAUUUAAGAGUGUCUGCAAAAGUAAGUCGUUGUUCCCGUGUCCUGAAAAUAACUUUUGCAGAUACAAUGAAGUACAAUUCAGUCCUAAUGGCUAAAAGUUUGGAAAAGAAAUGCUGUCCAAAGAUAGGCGCAGAGUAUAGUAAUAAUAAUAUAAUAUAUGACUUUAGAAUAGAGUAUCAUAUGCCUGUAAACUAAAGUCAAAGUGUUCACAUGUAGAUCUAUAUGGAAGCAUGAAUAUCUUGUUAAUAUGUAUUUACUAUUACAGGAAAAUUUCCACCCAGGUACAUACUCUUUUUACAUCACAAUGGGGUAAAUCGCUUGCAGUUGGUAAGUGGGAUUUAGCAGUGCUACAGGAGUGUGUACAGCUACUGUGGGUUUUGGGGCCAGUUAUAAUCACUAGGGAGAUCGAAGUCUAUUGAAAACCAGAAAAUCUCAACAAGUGUUUUAAAUGAAUUGUUGAAAUCCUUUAAGUGGAUUUCAUAAUAAAAGUAUCUGAAUGCAUUCACAUACAUAGGGAAACCUGAGUCCAUGUGGGCAUUGCUGGGCUGUGGUCUAAUUUUGUGUAAUACUAUCAUAUAGCUAAUCCUGUGCUACUGUGCAGUGCAAGAUGUCUUGGAUAUUGCCUUCUGAAUUGAUUCAGAACCCUUAUUAGAAUAAGGACACUUCUAUUGCAGAACAUGGGCUUGUUCAAGUGUACUGAAUGAUUUUAAGGAUGCUUCAAUGUUUGGAAUGAGGCAACAGUGCCUGAAGGAGAGUGUUUCAACAGCAAUUUGAAUGUGUAAGAACAACGAGUCCAUCUUGGAAAUUGUUGUGGACAUUAUUGCUUUAUUUCUAUUAUUCUUGAUGUAGUUAAAAGUAGUUCUUCAAUAUUUCUGAAGUCUUCCUUAGUCUGUGUUCAGCAGCAAAUUCUGGCAAGUUCACAAGCAGCUGCAAAAAUAACAAGAGCAGUAAUUCGAAAGGAAGCUGCUUCAAUAUUUGCAGCUGAAAAGUUCUCCUGCUGAAUUCCCAGAUGUAACCUUUAGCUUCACUGCCUCAUCGAUAUAAGUAUAUUGUAUAAGGAACAGCAUCUGGUAUGACCUUUACUACUUUUCUUUCUUUUUUUCACAAAUGAUUUUGUUGUUGCUAUAGAAGGAAAAAAAAAUAUAUUCUACACAUUUCUGAGAAAAGAAAAAUUGUUUCCACUAAGGUAAAUCUAGAAAAAAUUGAAAGUAAUUUUGUAGAAAACAAUUUGAGGUUUUUCUUAUGAAUGUAAGUAAUGCCAAAUAAUUCCAGUGUACACUCAGGAAAAACUCUUCUGGAAUUCAGCUGUGCCUCUAGCUUUUAGUUGUACUUACUAUUGGUGAUGAAUGCCUAUAUAUUUGUCUGAGAAAACAGACAACUCACACUGAGAUGCCCUGAAGUUAGCAUUCUGGAUGUUCUUUUCCUGAUCAGUUUUAUAUUUAUUUCACUACUCUUGCAAAUCACAGAGUAAUUGCAAAUCAGCCUACAAUGUUAUGGUACUAAAGUAUGCCAUUGAGCUCACGGUUUUAAAAUAUUACACCCACAGUUUUCUGUGUAAUUUUUUUCUGUGCCACACAGUGGAUAUUAAUUGCUUGUGAGUUUUCCCAUAGAUCAGUUUUGCACCGUCAGUUAUUUUGUGUCUUUGAGAUAUUUUGAAUAUCGCAUACAUAUAUUUGAGACAUAUAUUUGAAGAUGUCUAUGGUGGUUUUCUGUGCACGUAUGAAAAAAUACUUUUCAAACAACAUCUCUUUCUCUUGUUGUCCUGCUAUUUGCAAAUGAGAAACAAAAUGGGAGAGAGUUCUUAUCACUGUUGUUUCUUAGAUUUGAUGUGUUUACCUGUUCAUUCAUUCUAGCUGUUUUCUAAUGAUGAUGACCUGUUCCCCAACCAGUAACUUCAGUUGCAUUCUUCAAUCUGAAGAAGGCGGUACUGGGAUAAAGGUGAUUGAACUUUUGGAGCAGUUUUAAAUUUUAGUGGCUCCUUCCUUUGAACUUUCCUUAAAAAAUCUGAGGAUGUGAAGAUACAGGGAAGUAAAAAUACAUUUGAUGACUGAGGGAACAAGAGAAAGUUGUGGUGCUGUAGAGGUUAAAGCACAGGUGGGUGACAUAGCACAUGACAGAGCACUCUCAGGGAGAUGUCUAUGCUAUGGCUUGUUCUGUGUGCAGCAGCUUAAAACAAAUAGAUCUGAAAAUCCUUUGGAUCAUUCCUCAAAAAAAAAAAAGGUGCUUGAUGGUUAAGCCCAGAGUGAUUUUUUUUUAGCUAAAUUAUCAGCCUGUUAGUGCAUAAGGGAGUAAGGUGUUGAAUAGUGAAAUGCUGGAAUACCCUAGGCUAGAGCUUGCUGGCGGGCAUUGCUGCAAUAACACUAUAAUAGGCCAGGUGAAGAAGAGGUAGAAUAGAUGGGUACAUCUGCUGACAAUCUUUCUUUUUAAUUUGGAGCCACCUGAAGGCAGUAACUAGCAGAAUAAUAACCUGAUCCCCAUAUGGUUUCCGUUCUUUCAGAGUAAUAGUAUGCAGAAAAAAAAAAGAAAAAGCAGUCUACUUUUAGCUCUGGCUUCUGUUUGCCUCUUUGUGAGCCUGAGAACGUUUCCUGUCUGCUUGGUGAUGGGAAAUGUAACCAAAACAGACGUAGGUGAGUGACAUUUCUCAUGCCCAGCAUUCUGCUUUGGGUUUUCUGUAUCACCUCAGAGACGUUGCAACAUGUAGGAAGGGGGAAGGAGAUAGGAGAGAAAGAGCAGUGUAUCUUUAGCAUAAUUUACAGCUAACUUGCAGCUGUAAUGUUUUACCACGUUGACUUCUCAGCACAUAUUAUAUUUAAAAUGUAUUUUUCAUUUAGAAUUCUUUAGUCUGGUCCUGCAAAGAGCAGAUAAAUAUUGUCCUUAAAAAUGCACGUAGUUUUAUGAGUGGUGCAUUUUGAAGUAAGGAGAUUUGCUUUGGUCUCGGAUGUAUACAGAAACUCUGUCCUUACAGUUUUCUUAUUUCUGCUUCACUAUCUCCCCAUACUUUCCUUCCUGUCUGUGUUCUCUUAUUUCCUCUAAAUUACAGAUAGGAGGGAACAACAAUUUUCAUUGAAGCAGGCUUCACUUCUGGGGGAUAAUCUACCGCUGUUUUAAGUCAGGCCAAAAGUUCACAAGUGUGUUGUCAAACAUAAGAUUAUAUGACAUGUGGCUUUAGGAAAAAAAAAAAAAAAAAAAAAAAAAACCAAAAUCAGCAGUCCUUGGCACCUGGCAAACUUGAGAUGCACAGCAUCAAGAAAAAACUCUCAUUCUGCUUCUUUUUCUAAGUAGGUUUUGUGCCAGAUUAUGGCCUUUGCCCUGCCUCCCCUAGAAUAGGGUUUGCAGUGCAAAUGUACCCACCGUGCAAAGAGCAAGGUGCAUUAAGGAACAACAGACCAAGAGUUUGUACUUAAGCUGUAUUGAGUACUGGUAGUACACUAAAUUACUGUGAACAUGGGUUAGGAUGGCAGAAUGAAAGACAUUGUCAAUAUUGGCAUCUUUACUAGUAUCUGUUGCCCUACUGACUUACUUAAUUGCUUUAAUGAGAGAAUGUGAAGAUGAGAAACUCCUUCAGAAGAAUUCAGGAAGGAGAAAGUCAAGCCACCUCCUUUUACCUGUCCAAACAGAUAUCUGUGUACUUUCUGGAGAUGAGAAAUUAUGGUUAAGGAUUUGAAGGCACUUGGGUAGUAAGCACUUAGACCUGCACUUCUGUGAGAAGUUGUACUUACUGUUUUUCUAUUUGGAAAAAUGUGAACUCCUGGGACCCACUGUUCACUCCUUUAAUGUAACUGUAGGAAAUAAAGUCUAGGUUGUUCUUUUUCCAUUUUUUGGCAUUUCUCCUUUGACUCACUGUGUGUUCUGGUUCAGUGGAUGAGGGGGGCACAUGAUCAUACAAUAAAGCUUUGGCUUCUCCUGACCUGAAGCUCUUCAGGGGAAAAGGUGCUCUGUGGGUGUAUGGGUUUUUUCCAACACCAGUCCCAGUAUGAACGCAGCCUUCAAUGCUGUUUAGAAGCUUAAAAAUUAGCCUUUCUGUCUCCCAGUGGGAUUUCAGGCCGUGCAGAAGUCCAUCGCCCAUCUCUGCACAGACGCAGAUCAAAAGUUUCUAUAUGUUACAAGUACUAAGGUGUUUAAUUUGCAUGUAUGAGUAUAAGCUUAUCUACCCAUUAUUAUUUUUUAAAUGAGAAGAAUGUAGGCUUGGCACUGUGCGUUUGUCAUCUUCAUGUUCCUUUUCAUAUUGCUUCCUGGAUCGGUUCUGCUGUUACUACUUCAUCUUUUCAGAAUUUUGAGUAAGGAACAUGCUGAAUAUGGGAAAUACUUGCUUUUUAUAUAUUGGAUGUUUGUCACAGAAUAGUUAAGAUGAAACUAAGACAGUUUGCUUCAGCUGGUAGGAGGAGUUGGGAAGCUCUGUUCAGAAUUGGUGAUAUUAUGUAGUUACUCCAUGAAAGAGAGAUAUGGUACCUAUGUUAAGCCAGAGGUUUUUGGUAGCAGACAGAUGGGUUGGGUCUGUAAUUAAAAAAAAAAAAAAAAAAAAAAAAUGUGUUCGGGAUUUUUCUUUGGCAAUGAGGCCACAGAGCACCAAAAGAAGGUGGCGACAUCCAAAUUACAUUAUGGGAUUUACCUCUGGGCUGAUUCUUUUUCCUGUGGUGUAGGGGAGAGUGCCAACAGGUCUGUGGAAACCAAGGACUAGUCUAAUAAGUGUAGAGACACUUGAAGUCUACUGUCUAGAAUGUGGGUUUUUUUGUUUGUUUGUUUGUUUUUUAAAUUAAUUUACUGAUUUAGAGGAGUCCAAAGUUCAAAGAGGAGGUUCUUGUCAUUUAUCUCUGGUUAUUCUAUUUACUGAAGAUCAGCCCUCCAACUAGUGCAUUUCGGGCAUUUGGGAUUUUUUUUUUUGUCUUAAAACUGCUGAAAACUUUAUUAUGCUUUUGCAUUAACACAACACUCAUGUUACUUUUGCAUCUCUCUCAAACAAUGGAGAAAACAGCCUUAAGCAAAUGUAACCGUGGCCUCUGUAUAUGAGGAUCUGUGAUGAUGGGAGUGAACAAGCUUGCCUUUUCCCCAAGGUAUUUUUGCCCUUCGUUUAAGAUUUUGAGGAAUGACAGUGAUUUUUUUUUUUUUUUUCACUAUAAGAUACAGCGCACUUCUGCAGUGUGCUGUAAGUGCAUGCAUGGCUGUGCCUGUCUAUGUGCCUAUCAUGCAUGUCUAUGUAUUUCUAUAUGUAGACACAUAAACACACAUUGCCCAUUUCUAGGGAAGAUCUGCAGUGCUGUGUGGGUUUUGGGUGGCUGUUAUUGACUAAUACUGACAGGUCAUGUGGAUACUGGGGCUUAGACCCAGCAGGAGGCAGUGCAUGUGCAUCUCCAGCAUUAACGCAAUCGACAUCCUCUCUGCAGAAGGGUGGCCAGGCCUUUCCUUAGGAAACAUAUGCCAAAACUAUUACUGGAGACAACGUCAUAGCCUGCAGCAAACUGGACAGGAUGUUAAUGAGGAGGGAAUUGUGGAGGAAAGAAUCUGAGUGCAUGCCGUAUUAUCAAAACAAAAUGCUGAAUAAACAGAUUAUUUCCAUAAUCAGCAAUCCUGGUAUUUUGAUAUUUAUCAGGUUUAUGCUGUUAUAUUUUUCAUUACUUAGUUGAUAGCGGCUUAGGGGCUUUUAAGUACAAAAAUAAAUAAAUAAAUAAGUGAAAACAUCUGGGAGGCUAUAAAAGACACUGCAGACCCAAGACAGCUCAUUAUUUCUCCUUGACGAAGAAAUCUCUCUUGCAUUCUGUGAUGUCUGUGGCAGUGUGUAAUGAGGCACUUCACCAUGUCAAGCCCAGAGUCAUAAUUCUGUCUUAUCUGCUGCAAUAAUGAGACUUUCUGAACGACUGAACUCAGCAGAAGUUAUAGGUGUAAAGAAAAUGGCUUGUGUUUUGCAACUAUUUACAACAGGUGAAGACCAGAGAAUUCAGUUAUUUUUUUCCCUUGAGGACUAGACUGUAUCAGGACUUGAACUUAGAAAUUAAGAUCUAUUUAUGGUUUCAACAAUGUUUAGUACUAAUUUAAUUUCAUAUUUGGCAGAUUUCUUCUGAAGUUCUCGAUUGGAGGUUGCUUAUUUUGCUUCUACUUGUGCAUUUUUCUCCCUUCUUCUUCCAGCCCUUUCCUGAAAGUUUUCCUAACUGUGAGAUUUAAAAACGAGGGCCAAACUUCUGGAUUUGGAGAUGUAUUCAGAAAUUGGCUGCAUUUAUCUACAGUGGUGACUACUAAGCCUACAUAGUCUUAGUAGGCUAUUGAUCCAACCAAAGAGCAUUGCAUGGGAUAUUUUCAAAGGAGUAUCAAUAUGAAAACAUCAAUUAUUGGUGUUCUUUCUGCAGAAGAGCACAGAAAAUUUAUGUGUAUGAGAUAACUGAAACAAAUACCUUUGGGGAUAAUAGCUGUCCAUUUUAAGUAAUUUUUUUUUUUGUUGCUUUGGAAAGCAAAAUACCAAAACAGUAUAAUACCAAAACAGUAUAAUAUGUAUCUUUUUCUAAGAUGCAAACUGUUAAAAGAUUGCUUGUUUAUGCAUUGGUCAGAAGUUCAUCAUUAAUAUGAUUCCCUUGAAAUGUUUGAUUGAUUAUCUGUUUAUUUAUAAACAUAAGUCCAAAGCCAAUGAAAGUUUGUCUUAUUGUUAAUUCUCAGAUGCCUUUUCUUUGUGAGACAAUUAAAGUAUUUUUCCCUACAUCUUUGCUAACAUGAGGUAACUAAAAUGAAAUAAACUGUAGUUGUAAUCUGAGUUAUCAGGAUGACGUGGCCCUUGGCCUCUUGGCAGAGUGUUCACAAACUCCCUUGUCUUUGUUACGGUUUUACUAAAUGUCAGCUCCUGUGUGCUAAGAAUAGAUCUUGCUGCCUGCCACCCUGAUGAGACGGACCUUAGCCCUGACCUGCAGCUUGCCUUUCUAGGGGUGCACAGAGAACUAUUGGGAAAGGGCCACCCAAGACUUAUUUUUUUUCCCUUAAUCUUUCCUUUGCAGGACAAAUUCCUCCAAGUAACAGACACUUAAGAAAGAGAGAAGUUGGAUGUGCUAUGUUUGUUUGUGUACCAUAUCAUCCUUCCAGAUGACCUAGUUUAGGAUUCUGAUGAGAUCUGAAGAGCAGAGUAUUGAAAAUGUUUGUGAGAGCCUGUGUGCCAGAAUAAUAUGGGGUAAAAUCAUCUUAAUGAGAUGCUAGAUCAUUUGCGGAGUACUUCUCUCAGUAAAUACAGUUAAUUUAUUUUUCUGAAGAGGAACACAAUAGGCUUCUCACAGGAAUGCACUUCUGUAAAGCUGGAAGAAAAUAAGUAGUUGUUUUGACUCUUUUUAAAGCUUGUGCAGGAGCAUUUUUUGGUUGUACUUCUAUGGUUGUAGCCAUCAUUUUUAUGCAGUUGUUAUUACCAGCCUUCUCUAGAUUCACACAUGGAACAUAAUACAAAAAAAUACUUCUGAAGUUCUCUGGAGAUAAAAUGACUGUUCUUCAUUCUUGGUUUUUGGAUAUUCUUUUUUAAUCAUCAUGGAGAUGUUUUAUUGCUGUAAACUGAGAUCCAGAACCUAAAAGAUCCAAAAUAGUACUGUAGCUUCCAGCUAAAAAUCAAGGCCUGUCAGGUGGUAUCACAUCCACUCUCAUUUCUGCUUUAUUUGACCCAAGAGGAAAUUCGUUGUAAUGCUUGCUAACCUUUACUGAGCAAGAGUAGUGGCUUAAUAAACAUGAUUUUUUUCCCUGGGGAUCUUUGCUGCCUGGUCUAUGUCUGGGCAAGGUUUCCCCCUUGACAUUUUUCUACUCAUGUCCUGAGUCUUCCAAGGAACCCAGCAGUAGCUCUUAGGGAGACAAAUUGCAUUAGAGUUCCCCUGGAAGAAGCACAGCCUGAGAAAAACAAUUACAGUACAUUAAAAAAGAAAAGUCGAUUUUUUUCUGUUCUGAAUUUGCAAGGGGAAUCUCAGAAACCUGAUGAGUUCUCAUGAUCUCAUUUUUUAAAGUGAAAAGGUAAGAUUAUAGACAAUGGGUAGGAAACAUAACACAUUUUGCUUUUCCAUAGUGCAUCCUGCUAGUAAACUUCCACUGACUACAGGUCACGUUAUAAAAUGAGUGCAUAAAAGAUGAAUGAGUAAAGGUUAUUUACCGAAGGGAAGUUGACUUACUAUAUGUUUUUUAAAUCUUAAUUCUGGAUGAUGGCGUCCUCUAGUUAACUGCUUAACUUCAGUGAGUUAAAUCCUUGAAUAGCAGUAACAGCGUAUUAUAAUUUAUUAAAAAAAAAAAAAGUUUUUCUCUUUGCAUCUCUCACCUUUCUGUCCUUGCUUAGAGUGAAAUUCAGACUGAAUACAUGCUAGACUGUGUUGAUUUUUUUUCCUCUUGAUCUAGAUCCAUCAACCAGGAUAAAUUCCAUAUUGAAAUAAUAAAUAUGCCUUCCUAUCCAGGGAAUGGCAUUACAUUCCUUUUCACAUCCAUACAUGAUGAAUUAUUUGUGCUUGUUUGCUGUGUCAGAAUUGAAGAACAUUAGCAUCUCUUUGCAACUUAUGUGCCAAAAACCUCUUUUCUUGAUAAAACUCUUCCACUCUCUAAGUCACUGCAAACAUCUCACUCUAAGGAUAUGUAGUAAAAAUGCAAGUGAUGCUUACUUAAUAGAUCUGGAGGCUCUAAGAUAUACAGCUGCAUCAAUAAAAGGGGUGAAAAUUCAAAUUUGAAGGUGUAUUAGCCUGGCUACUGGUAUACACUUCUUUUUUAAUGCUGGUUUUUGAGAUGAAUAUAUGUGCACAUGUGUGCGUGUGUAACAGAACAUUAUUGAGUAUUUGUUUUGGCUGAUUAAGUAAAUGCAUGCUAAUUCUCCACAGAAAACAAUGGUAAUGAACAUAAAGACAAUAUCUGUCUAAUCGUUCUAACUUAGUUUCGUAUUAAAAAGAAGUUCAACUCUCCUCUGAAUUCUUAUGUGUACAGCACAUUUUGUUUCUCCUUAUUGCUUUGCUGUAAUGAAUGUAGUACCCGUUCUUGUGCCAUUAUUGGACAAGAGAUUUAUAGGAUCACAGGUCAUUGUUAGCCAAAUAAGUUCAUUGUUGUGAUUUUAAUACAGGAAAGUGAAAUAUAGUUAAUAUGUGACAGUUUAGUAUUUUUAAAUCAUUCCCUUGGCUUGCCAAGAGCAUAGUUCACUCUUCUGGGCCAAAAAAGUUACUUCAGUCUGAGUAUAUCCUACUUAAGUUUUCAAAAAUGAUUUAAAAGAGUUAGCGAACUGUGAAACUGAGUUUUGUUUGUUUUCAUGACUUAUCAUGCUAGCACUUCAAAUUCAAAUGUGGUAGCAAUGGUAAUAGGAGGACAGUUGGACUAGAUGAUUUUGCAGGUUCUUUCCAACCUUGUGAUUCCAGGAUUCCAUGAUAUAGAACUGAAGAGGUAUUCUUUCUUGAUAGCAUUACUCUAGAGAUUAUGGUAGCAUUAUUUUUAUGGCAUUCUUGUUAACACGGCAUGUAGUGAUGUCUAAUUGCUUUAAGUAAAUAAAUUUGAGGAUUCUGCCUGAUCAUCAACAUAAGUCAGACUUAAUUUAACUUUCUCCUCCAUAACUUUUUCUAGUUUAUGGCUUGGAGGUGGGAAACAUAGAAAACUUCAGUUCUGACUAGUUUCAGAUUCUGGUUUGCAUCCCCUUAUUUGUAUCUUUCUAUAUAGAUUAGAAUUCAUUUCUUAUCAUGCUAUAAUUUGAUCAGUUUAAGAUGCAUUAAGGUGCUUAGAUGCUGCUUUAACCAUGAAAUACAUUUUAGCAUUAUAUGUUAGCUAAAAUAAGUUAAAAGCACACUUCUAAAUCUUAGUCUAGACAAAGACAUUACACGUUUACUCAUGUACAAUUAACUGAAGACCUUUAACUUCUGUUCCUGAAUGCUCAACCUGUCACUGGUGCAACAUUUUGUCCUCUUUUAGAUUAAUUGUCUAAUGAAUAAUUUUGUUCUCCAUAUGUCAACCAGAAGAACAGUGACUGCUGUUAGAACUGUGUUAGUUCUGCAGUGUUGCUAAGUGGAAAGUAAUAAAAUAGAGUUAGUGAAUUAUUGCUGUAAAUGUCUGAGAUUUAAAUAAUAAUAAUAAUAAAAAAAAUUUGCCUGCUGACAAAAAAUACCAUUGGAAAAAUUUCCUGGAAAAUUCUUUAGAUCUUAUGGUAUCUUGGUAACAGUGGUAUUUACAAUGCAUAGCCUGUUUUCAUUAAUUAUACAUACGUUGUGCAUGCAUUAUAUUUAUUGUUGAACAGCAUACUACCGUAUGUACUACACUGAUUUUUUUUUAUUCUUAAAAAAAUUGACACAAUAAUAAUACAUUAUUCCAUAUUUUGUGGCCAAUUUACAUUUGUACAAAAGUACUAUUACUUCAACUUGAAAUUCUCUUCUUACAGGGUAUAUUUCUGUCUCCAUUCCUGUUUCUUCAAAUGAUUUUUAAAAGCCCCUAUAAUUACAUGGGGAUACAAAACAGACAUUAGAAGGGAAAAUGAAGGAGGAGGUAUGACACUGGUUCACACUAAGGGCUAAUUAUGCAUCUGAGAGUUGGAUUUUGGCAGUAAAAUACCUUAAGCUCUGAGGGGAGUUUUGCAACUGUUGUUGAUUUAUAAUAUUUGAAACACUGAAAAGAAGGAAUCCUGCCUAGCUAGUACAUGCAGUGUGGAUAGCCCAUUACUAAUCAGAAUACAACAGGUCUGAAAACUGCUCUUUUUCCAUCAGUACCAGUGAAAAUGCACUGUUAUUGAAUAGUAAUAAUAAUUAACUAACUAAGAGCAAGAACAAAAAAAAAUCUUUGCUUUCUCCCCAAAAUAAUAUGACGUGAAUACACUUGCUGCUCAGAAAGCAUUCAUUAUUGGCAUGACUCCUAUUAACAAUGAAAAUUGUUAAAAAAAAUUGUCUCACUCUGGUCCUAGACCACAUUUUUAAUAGCCUUUCCAGUUUCCUGAAUUAAGAAGGGACUCAGAGGCAAUGUGUAAUGAUAGAAAAGCUGUGAUUUCUAAGGCUGAAAAAGAACUUUGAACACAAAUAACCUGUUAAACCGGGUAGUUAUGAGAUUUUGGCCAGUUAAAUUGCUUUUGACUUUUCCAUCGUGUUAAUCAGUUAAUAUUAGGAGAGAAAGGAAAUAGAUACAGAUAUAAAAGUCAACAAAUGAGUACAAGACUGUAGUUUGCUAUGACUGGAAGCAUUAGGAGUUUCCUAUUGCACAAUGUACUUACAAUCUUAUAGGAGCAAAAACAAAGGAUAUAUGUCAUUGAUCACAUGAUCAUCCAUAAAUAAUUAAAAAAUAAAAAAAAGUAGUGCAGUAAACUUAUACAAUAUUCUAAGCCUUCAUGUAAGUUUUGCAUCAAAUAUUACAUUCCUUCUCAUUCUUUUCCCUGUGACCAGGCUGGGUUUAUUUCUUUACUUUUACUAGUGCAUUGACAGGGUUAUGGAAUAGAUUUCUACUCAAUUUUUAGAUGCGCUUUGAAAUAGUGGUGUGAUUAAAACAAAUGCUCAAGUAAAAAACUGAGGAAUCUUUGUGCUUAAGAAAAGUUAAAUAGAAUUUCUUCCCAUGCCUCUGUCAUACAACUGAACGCACUGAAAUUAUUUUCUUUCAUUAUUGAGACUCAUCCUGAAAUGUUUGAGCAGUGAAACCCCUGGAAGUCUGGGGAUGCUGGAAUAAGACUGGUCCAAUGUGUCCUACUGUGAGAAGGACAUGAAUCAGUGUGUUGACAAAGGUAGUUGGAGGCUGAUGGAGAGGUUUGGAGGAACUUUUGUUGUCUUCAGUUUUCUUACUCUCAAGCCCCUGACGUAUGCUACAUCCUAUAUCUGGAGCAGUUGAAAGCAGGACUCUGUGUUUGACCAAAUAGCAUAAAUACACAAGUAAAGUAGUAGCUUUCAUUUAGUUUGAAAUAGAAGUAGAGCAGAUAAUGCAUUUUUUACCAAAUUUCAGUGCCAAUGUGUGCUUUAUUGGUUGGAAAAAGCAUCUUUUACUAGCUGAUUUUGUAAUGAAUGAAGCUGUGAGUGUUUUAUGCUAGAUAUCAUGGCUCUUUAAGUCCAUUCCACCUUUGCUAUGCAGGAAAAUGAGCCUGAAAAUCUUGGUUCACUUGGCCUUCUAGCAUGAAAGCAGAUAUUCCACUUCUGUUGUCAGCACCAUUUUUUUGCUUGUUUCCAUUGUCAGUAUUAAUUGAAAAAGGUAAGCUUGGUUUUUGUGGAAUUCAAGUGCUGGCUUGAAUUCUUCUUGAAUAAGGAUGGAUUUUAACACAUGCUUACUAUUAAUCAUCAUCAACAGAAAACCUCACUAUGAUGAAAAACAAAGAUGAUCUAACUUCUUUAUAUAUCCACAUGAGCCAUACUAAUAGAAUUCAGUGUUUAGUACUUCAGGAAAAGAUUUUGUGCCCUAAAGCUUCUUUGUUCAGGUGUUUUUGUUGUUGUUUUUUUACAGCAUUAUGACUUUGUAGCUGGUGAAAGGUCUCACCAUUUGAUUAGAGACUCUGUUAAUCCCAGUCACAACAGCUCAAUAUCUGUAAUCUUCUCAAAUUCUCUUGCUGCUAACAGCUGAGACUUUUUAAUGAUGCUGUGUAUUAUUAUUUGUUUCAAACUUUUUCUUAUAUAUAGAAAAUAGUUCUCGUUUAUUAUAUGGUUUUUUUUUUUUUUUUUUUUUAUUGCCUUCUUGCCUUGUAUUGCAUAUUAGUGUCCUUAGAAGUCAAGACCCUGUGACCUGGAAAGAAGACCUCAGGACUGGAGGUCCCGUGACCAUUUCUGUGUCAUAUCUGAGUUACAGACCGUCUCCAGCUCUACAGUCAGCUCUAUUCACAUACAAAACACUGGAGCUUCUUGUUUUCUAAUGAGCUGACCCUGCAAAUAUUGAUGGGAAUCAUAUUCUAUCUAUAAUUUGGUUGUUAUCUGUCUGAAUAGUUCCUAAUAUUAAAUGUAGAUGGGAUAAAAAAAAAACUCAACCAAACAAGAAAACCCACCUCAGCCCAACAACUUAAUAAUGAUCUGCUUGAAGUUAUUUGAUAGAGCAAAUUCACACUUAUAAAUGCUAGUUUUCAGUGCAGUCAUCUGUAUUAGCCAUGCACUUUCAUCACCUGCAAACAAGAACCCGUGUGCUGUGCUCAUAAAAAUCUGUAUGGCUGUCUGCACUGUGGCUUGUCUUUCACAUAGCUGUUGCCACUGCUGAAAGGCACUACCUACCGCCUCACUGUGCCGUCAUGCAUUCUUUUAUCUGUAUAGAAGUUCAGCAAGCAUCACAGAAUGUCGAUGGGCACAAUUCUUUCUGCACAGAGGAAUUCAAUGACACACCUUUGCUUCAUGCAUACUUCCAUGUUAGAAGCCAUUUUGUCAGACUGCCCCGCUGCUGCCACCUGUUUCACAGCAACAAGAUGUAAUGGAAUAUUGGCAGGAAUGUUCAACCCCUACUGCCUUACCACCACCAUCUGCCUCUGAUGUUGUGGACUACCAUAAUAAAAUAGGAGGCACUGAUUUCAAAGUAGCCCUUGUACCACCUGUCCGCCACAUAAGUUGU